This 497-nucleotide ribosomal RNA is filed under the name uncultured bacterium. RNAcentral's name for it is "partial 16S ribosomal RNA". It matches the Rfam family "Bacterial small subunit ribosomal RNA", at positions 28 to 507 of the family's 1533-position model. The record is from RNAcentral.
GAUGAACGCUGGCGGCGUGCCUAAUACAUGCAAGUCGAGCGAACAGAUAAGGAGCUUGCUCCUUUGACGUUAGCGGCGGACGGGUGAGUAACACGUGGGUAACCUACCUAUAAGACUGGAAUAACUCCGGGAAACCGGGGCUAAUGCCGGAUAACAUUUAGAACCGCAUGGUUCUAAAGUGAAAGAUGGUUUUGCUAUCACUUAUAGAUGGACCCGCGCCGUAUUAGCUAGUUGGUAAGGUAACGGCUUACCAAGGCAACGAUACGUAGCCGACCUGAGAGGGUGAUCGGCCACACUGGAACUGAGACACGUUCCAGACUCCUACGGGAGGCAGCAGUAGGGAAUCUUCCGCAAUGGGCGAAAGCCUGACGGAGCAACGCCGCGUGAGUGAUGAAGGUCUUCGGAUCGUAAAACUCUGUUAUUAGGGAAGAACAAAUGUGUAAGUAACUGUGCACGUCUUGACGGUACCUAAUCAGAAAGCCACGGCUAACUACGUG